This 403-nucleotide ribosomal RNA is filed under the name uncultured bacterium. RNAcentral describes it as "partial 16S ribosomal RNA". It matches the Rfam family "Bacterial small subunit ribosomal RNA", at positions 30 to 526 of the family's 1533-position model. The record is from RNAcentral.
AUUGAACGCUGGCGGCAGGCCUAACACAUGCAAGUCGAGCGAGCGGCGGACGGGUGAAUAAUGUAUGGGGACUGCCCGAUAGAGGGGGAUAACAAAUGGAAACGGUGGCUAAUACAGCAUACUAGCGGAUAACCCAUAUGGGAUUAGCUAGUAGGUGGGGUAAAGGCUCACCUAGGCGACGAUCCCUAGCUGGUCUGAGAGGAUGAUCAUCCACCCUGGGUCUGAGACACGGCCCAGCCUCCUACGGAGGCAGCAGUGGGGAAUAUUGCACCAUGGGCGCAAGCCUUAUGCAGCCAUGCCGCGUGUAUGAAGAAGGCCUUAGGGUUGUAAAGUACUUUCAGCGGGGAGGCGUUACCCGCAGAAGAAGCACCGGCUAACUCCGUGUCAGCAGCCGCGGUAAUUC